RNAcentral lists this long non-coding RNA (984 nucleotides) under Homo sapiens (human). RNAcentral's name for it is "HSALNT0264559". The record is from RNAcentral. Lineage: Eukaryota; Metazoa; Chordata; Mammalia; Primates; Hominidae.
AAAGUCCAUAUGCAUUAAGAUGUGAAACUGUGUAGCAAGUAUAACACAUGCUCAGAGUGUAUAUUUUGGAUAAUCAGGCUGGACUGGAAUUAUUAGUUCCAAGAAGAAUGCUGGACAAUUUGGAUGUCAUCUAAGAAGAUUCUAGAAUUCUCACUCUCUAUGAAGUACAAAUGAGAGAAAGAAAAAGGGCUGUGGUGCUGACAGCUUUCAGGGAAUAAGAUGGAUUGGCCAGCAAGGUUUCAAUAGAGAGCCCUGGUCUAGGCUUGGAUAACCAGUGGGAUGCUGACGUGACUUGGUCUCUUCUGGUCAGAUCCCCACCAUGCAGGACACCAGGGAUUAGAGUUGUACCCUGCACCCUGGGGAAGUCACCAAACUCAGAUAUCAGGACUGUGUAGUGACUGUCAGAAGGCUGACCCCAAACUCUGAGAUUUCAAUCACUCCCAGGAAUUCCAUGGCAUGAGACUGCCAUCAGAGUAGCAGAGAGGCCAGACUUUGAGCUCACAAAGCCCAGGGUAGACACCAUUAAUGGGCUGGGCACCAGAAGACCCUCCACGAGUGUCUGCCAUGCAUCUGAAAAUAGGACAUGACGCUGAGUGGAGAGACAGCAAGAAGGCUCUGGAAAUUUUUUUGCCAGCUUAACAGAUAAUGUACAUAGAAUUAGAUUCAACUUGAGUUAUAGAGAAAAUAAGAGAUAAAAUAAAGAAAUGUAACAUUCUUUGCUUAUCCAACUUUCAAGAAUAAGAGCUAUUUUCCAUACAGUGGUGUUUGCCACUGAAGCGGAGAGUGGUAGUCAGCUUGGACUGCCAAACAAAAUAUCAUAGACUGGGUGGCUUGAACUACAAAUAUCUUUCUGACUGUUCUGGAGGCAGGGAAGUCCAAGGUACCGGCAAGAAGAUAGAGUUGGAUUAUUUUGGAAGAGUGACCUAUGACCUGGAAGUCUGGAUCCCACAACAUUUGACCCAAAUCCCAAAUGUUUACUUUUUC